CUGAUUAAGAGCAGCCGGAGCGCAGGGUAAGAAAGAAUACGCGCAUGAGCGUAGCCGUAUAUAUAUAGAACAGCACUAUUUUAAUUCUGAGAUCAAAAUAGUCAUUUGAAUCACAGCGCGCUAUAUAGGAGAGCGAGGAGAUGUUCCCGAACUCUGUCGGAAAAAACCCGGCCGCCCACCACUCACCAACGAUCUCCCCCCUUCCCUGACCUCCCGACUCCUUUCCUCCCGUGCAUCGCCGCCGGUUCCCCUCCACCUGCUUCCAGUGCACCGCCGCCCCCUCCGUUGGCUUCCACCGCCCCGCCCCAGCCGGCGCCGCCGCCCCCAUCCCGGUCCCAAAUAGUGACGCCCCGCCUCGCC
Molecule: ribosomal RNA, 360 nt
Filed under: Triticum aestivum (bread wheat)
Lineage: Eukaryota; Viridiplantae; Streptophyta; Magnoliopsida; Poales; Poaceae
Description: partial small subunit ribosomal RNA
Source: RNAcentral